CUGUUUCUUCAGCACAAGAAAUAGAGAAUUCAGCAAGUGCUCUUGGUGGCCCUGGAUUCUGCCUCUCUCAUAACUUUUGCUCAGGUCCGACUACCAGAGCUCUUUUCUACCUCUGUAGGUCUGGAGCCUGCACUUGUGAGUUGUGACUUUAAACUUCAGAUCGUGUUUCCAGUUCAAGAUGGGGCGUUGGAAUCCCGGCUUCUGACGGAAGCCACCUGUGCUGGAUGGGUGUUCAUUCUCUGGCUGGGGAUCCUCUCUCAAGCUGCCAUUCCCACGCUCCCCCCGGCAGCAGAGAAAAAGAAAGCGAAACCUGGUUAAGAACAUGAACUCUGGAGCCAGAAAACUUGGAUCCAAACCAAGCAUUGCAACUAAGACUUGUGACUUUAGAAUUGAAUUCUGAAACUAGAAAAGAGUUCAAAUUGAUGACAUUUUUACCUACUUCAUUUGCCAGAUUUUUAUCAAGGAAUUCUAUGUCCUCAGCACAAUUUGGGCAUUUAAAACCAGCAGUGGAAUAAGAAUGAUUGACUCUGUUCUCCAACAGUGUGUAUUUUAAUAGAGAGACAAAAACAGCUAUUGAGACAGGGAUGCAGAAGAACCACCUGAGCUGCUGAAGGUACCACUGUGAAAUUCAAUGAAAAUAUGUGGCCAGAGAAUCGAAGGUAGGAGCCUACCCAGCCUCCUGUGCUAGAUGGAAGUGUAAGUUUUGACAGCAGAUUUCCUUGAACCUGCCCCUACUUAUUGCCAAUUACUUGCAAGUGACAUAGCUAUCGAAAAUCUGUAUAACCUUGUCUUGGAAGUCAGGAUAAACAAACAGCUGUGCUGUAGCGAGGCCUCUAGGAAGGUGGUUCAUGCAAAAGACAGAACCGAGUCCAACAUAGAGCUCAAGAGCAGAGCGACAGAAAAAAGUUUUUCCUC
Molecule: long non-coding RNA, 915 nt
Organism: Ochotona curzoniae (black-lipped pika)
Lineage: Eukaryota; Metazoa; Chordata; Mammalia; Lagomorpha; Ochotonidae
Exons: 4
Source: RefSeq, a predicted model, not a curated record